GAUGAAGAACGCAGCGAAAUGCGAUAAGUAAUGUCAAUUGCAGAAUUCAGUGAAUCAUCGAAUCUUUGAGCGCACAUUGCGCCCGCCAGUAUUCUGGCGGGCAUGCCUGUUCGAGCGUCAUUUCAACCAUCAAGCCCUGCUUGCGUUGGGGUCCUGCGGCUGCCCGCAGGCCCUGAAAACCAGUGGCGGGCUCGCUAGUCACACCGAGCGCAGUAAUACAUCUCGCUUUGGGCGUGCGGCGGGUUCUUGCCGUUAAACACCCCCUUUUUACCAAGGUUGACCUCGGAUCAGGUAGGAAUACCCGCUGAACUUAAGCAUAUCAAUAAGCGGAGGA
RNAcentral lists this unclassified non-coding RNA (334 nucleotides) under soil metagenome. RNAcentral's name for it is "partial contains 5.8S ribosomal RNA, internal transcribed spacer 2, and large subunit ribosomal RNA". The stretch from base 1 to 120 matches the Rfam family "5.8S ribosomal RNA", at positions 35 to 154 of the family's 154-position model. The record is from RNAcentral.